Molecule: long non-coding RNA, 14176 nt
Filed under: Brassica napus (rape)
Lineage: Eukaryota; Viridiplantae; Streptophyta; Magnoliopsida; Brassicales; Brassicaceae
Description: long non-coding RNA (BNAP_LNC019325)
Source: RNAcentral
GUAGACGGAAGGGACGUUGGGACCAAUAACGGAUACGACUUGGCCACGGUUGAUUCCGAGGGAAGGGGAAGAUAGAGUCGAAGCUAUGCGGAGACAUCGGGAAUGAGUUUCGGACCAAGUACGGACGGUGGUUGUGUGGAGGAGGGAAGGUGAGUCGCCGUAGACAGAGGCGGCUCGGUCUAAGUAGCCGAGAACUGUGAGAGGUGAUGAGUUUGAAGGGUGUGGGAGUAAAAGUUCCAUAGUUGAUAAUGUCUUGAUAGUUUAACUAUAAUGUGUUUUAAGUUAUUACUUUUGAUACGGCUUUAGUGGAAUAUAUAUAAAUAUUUUGUUCGUAUGUGGUUAGGUGAAAUAGUAAUCAUUAUCUUGCAACAUUAUAUUUCUAGGUUAAGCUAAUACUAGAAUUACAAAUAAUCAUGAAAUAUAACUUAGCUUUCUAUGUUUGGGAAUAAUCAUAUCAACUUUUGAAGAACAAAAAGUGUGGUUUAAUUGUAUUCAAGUAUACAUAUAAAAUAAAAUAUGAAACAAAGAAUUAAUAAAUUUUCUUUGGAACUAACGUGUACGUAUCAUCGUUAUAAGAAGCAAAACAAAUUUAAGCAAGAUGAAUUAAGUGUACUAAUCUGGUAUUAGCUAUAAUAAGAGAUAUAUAGUUUGCAUUAAAAGAAAGAUAUUAUAACAAGACGUAAUUGCAUAUAUCUACCGACAAACAUAGUAAAUUGCCUCAACGACCCAGUUAAUGCUGAAAGGUUGUUGCCUGUUGGAAAGUGGAAGUUUGGAAACCGCAACCUACUAUUCAUUUAAAUUAAAUUUAUCCGAGAUGUAAAGAAUUGCGAAAAUGCUUUAUUGAUGUAUUUAUAUUUCGAAGAUUGUUAAGACAAAACGACAUACUCGAUGUUUUAUUAGGGAACGUGAAUACAUUAUUUACAUGCAAUAUGCAUGCGUGGAAUGAAUUUAGAAUGCAUAUUUAUCACACACUAAUUAGCCAUUCUCUUGUGUCAUUUUGGGUUACCAAACCUUUUUAAAUAAAGGAAGCACGAAAAAUAAUCUGCAAGUGUAUGUUAUACGUUACACGUAUCGAUCCAAGAUGGCAAGAUCGUAACCUAGAUUCAUGUGGAUAACCCUAAAAAGGUUAAUUGGAAGGAAAGUGUACAAAAAUGAAAUAUCUCAAACUUUCCUAAUAUUGAAAUUGCAAAUAAAAAACAUUUCUACUACAUUUCUUUGAAUGAAACGUAAUUCCUGUCUACAUAUUUAUCUAACCGGUAGGUGUCAUUGCAGAAAAAAAAAGAAUUGUUUCGUUUUUCAAUAAGAUUAUGAUGCACACUAUAUUUUUAACUUAAAAGAAACCUUAAUGUACGACUAUAUAUUAAGAUUCAACACAAAAGAUAGACCUAAUUAAAUAUCAUUGGCAAUAAUGGCAGCAAUUGUUAGAACACAAAUGGAACAUGAUGGGAAGAUGGUAUCAUGAUGGGAAAAAGUUAGAAUACAAGUCCCAAAACCUUUGUUCAAAAAAAAAAGUCCCAAAACGUUCAUCUCUCUAAUGAAAUAUACUCCAACAUUAAUGUGAUGAUAUACCCCUUCUCUUCAUUUGAUACUUAUACUGCAUCUUUAAUCCCCAAAAUGAAAUAUUUUUCAGUAUGUACGGUGAGGCCAUAUCAAUUUUUAUUUUUUUUGGUAAAAAGGCCAUAUCAAGUUUGUAGGAAUUGUGGUAUUAUUCAGUGCCACACCUAAUAUAUUUGAUAUGCAUGUAUAAAUUUUAUAAAUUUCCAGACGUUAUAUAAUUCAUAGUAGUACAUUCUCAAGUUGAAGACAAGGGCAUGUUACAAUUUUAGUAGUACAUGAUCUUAAAUGUCUCCUAACAGGUUGUCUGGAUACAAACGAUUAAACUAAGAACUCGAAAUUUAUGUAAAUAAUAAGAUGUAAUUUGGAUUAAAAUUUAUAAAAAAAACUAAGAAGCAUCAUAUCUUCGGUCAAGAACUAGCUCAUUAUAAAGGUGAGCAGAGUGCAAAAUCAACAUCCCAAUAGACAUUUGAUUAAAGAAUUAAAUCCUAAAAAUGUGGUCUUUAGAAACCCCUGUCCUACUUUGAAAAAGUUAGGAAGAUGAACAAAGACAAAAAAAUGUUUUUAGAGACAAGAAAUGUGUAAUAGUCUGCCUGUUUUUUUUCUUGAACCAAUCAUCUCAUUUAAUGGAUUAUGAAGUCACAUCUGUUCUUGAUCUUUCAAUGUGUCAGCUGCGUUAAGAAGCAUAUCCAUCCCUCCUACGCUAUUAUCCAACCCUCCUUUGCCUUUACUUCCCGGUUUGCUCUCGUUCAUCUUCCCUUUCAGUGUCUGCACAGCCCCCACCUUCUUCUUCUCAACCACAUUUCGAAACUUGCGCACUUUCUGAAUCGCAACUUUACAAGUCCUGCAAAACCAUUCUCCAUCUGGAACCGACGCACACGGAGGCUUCAUGCAGUAGAUGUGGUAAGCAUCAUCACACCCGUCGCACAAGACAAUCUUGUCAUCAUCCUUGUCGAUUAAGCAGUUUCUGCAUAAGCACGAGGAGCAGUACCAGCUGACGUUGUGUAGCUUUAUCUGCUUUGAAGUCAGACACCUGAUGUGGUAGUACUUGUGUGGGCAGAACGGGUGAUCGCAUGUGAUGAACCUGUUACCAUCGCCUUUCUCCACUUUUGUUCCACAUGUCCUGCAGAGCUCAGAAUCUAUCUUUGUCUCCAUGGCUUCAUCACCAUGAUUCAUCAUGUUGGAUGUUGAAUUCUCUUCUGAUCCGUUUGAGUCUUCUUUACGUUCUGCACUCGAAUCAUCAACGCAUCCGUUCUUAUCUGUCUUUAUCAGCAGCUUUUCGGUUUUCUUUUUCUCGCACACAACGCAAUUCUCGUGAGGUGAUCCGAAUCCAUUAGCUGUGCAGUUUAGGCAGUACCAAGUGUCUGAAGACAUCUCUUUCUCACCAGGAUGUGCACAUGAGACAUGGUACAUAUCUUCACAAUGAUCACAAGCUAAACAGUCCUUUACCACUGCCUUCUCUCCACAUAGCUUGCAAGCGUCUUCAACACUGUCGUUUCUGGUGGUCUCUACAUUAGGAUGAGGGUUAGGUUCCACAGUGUUGAACUGCUUCAACUUCCAGAUUUUGAGAAAGAACAAAAAAAAAACAUUAGGAUAUUUCUAAAAUAAAGUAAAUUGAAAAAGAUCAUUUAUUCAUGAGCCUCACCUGUUCGGUACAUGAGGUCUUUGAAAGCUCUAAGAGACUACCAGCAAGAGCAGCCAUACCAUUACCAACAUCCUGUAGUUUUUUCCAGACCUGUAAUCAGUAGUUAGGUUUAGUACUAAUCUAACGCAUAAGUAUCUUCAGGAAAAACACAGCCACAUUGCUUCAAGUUGAGAGUUUUGAGUUCAUCAUACUCUAUAACAUGCAUAGUUUUGAGUUACCUCUUGGAGAUCCGUUGAGAAGAGCACAUUUGAACCUUCAUAAGCACCCUCUUGCAUCCUGGUGUCUAUCAAAGUUCUGCAGGGAAGGUCUUCAAUCUUGACCCCUUGGAGAUUCUCGGAAAGCAACUUACUGAGGGAAGCAAACUCCUUUGAAGCUAAAACUUGAGACAGAACAUUCUGGCAACCGGCUGUCACAGUCUCAUACUUGGGGGGUUCGGUUGUUGGUUCAUCUGGAUUUGAAAGCUGGGGGAGUUCACCAGUAAGAUGAGUUCAAAUUACUAACCGCUGCCCUCAUUGGCUCCCAACUAUUUGGCAGAGAUGCCAACAAAAUCAGUGCUCGCACUUCAUCAUCAAACUCGAUUUCAACCGAUGACAGUUGGUUGACAAUCGUGUUGAACUCGUUCACAUGUGCGGCAACCAGGCCACCUUCUUCCAUCUUCAAAUGAAAGAGUUUCUUCAUGAGAAAUACCUUAUUGUUUGCCGAAGGUUUCUCAUACAUGUCAGAGAGAACUUUCAUGAGCCCUUCCGUGGUCUUCUCCUUCGCAACGUUGUGAGCAACGUUUUUCGACAGUGUUAACCUUAUAACACCCAGAACUUGUCUGUCAAGGAGCUCCCACUCAUCCUGAUCCAUCUUCUCAGGCUUCUUGCUCAGCGGUUGAUGAAGCUUCUUUCCGUACAGAUAAUCUUCAAUUUGCAUUCUCCAAAAUGCAUAAUCUGUACCGUCAAAUUUCCCGAUACUAUGCGCCAAACCGUCUUCGCCUCCCAUCGUUUCUGGAACCACCGUGUAUUAGAACACCUUCGUCGACAAACCGAUGUUACUGACAAAAUUCACUAUUCACGAAGUACUGUUCACGUGAAUAGUAACCCCACAAAAAAUUUGACCGAUCACCGUAACUCAGGCUCUGAUACCAGUUGUUAGGAAAUAUGCGGUCAAAUUUUGCGGAAAACCAGAAUUUGCGCAAUUUAGGGGAGCGGGAAAACACACACAAAAUUGUUAACGGAGUUCGGCCUGCUUUUGCCUACGUCUCCGGACCUGCUACAGAUCUUUUAUUAUCAACCCGGGAAAUUUUUACAAGCUCUCAACUCACACCCGACCCCAAAUACACUCAAGAAAUUACACUUAAUUUCUUAUAGAGAAAGAUUUUCUCACAAGAAAGAUUUUUUUUUUUUCUCUCUCUUGCUCACUCUCUUCUUCUCUUGUUUUCUCUUUGUUUUUGGGAUGAAUUUCUUCUUCUCCUUGUGUGGUUAUUUAUAGGAGAUUAUGGGGAGUUGGUGAAACUUCUUGUUGCACCUACCAAAAACACAAAAGAAAUGUGUUGUUGAAUUAAUCAACAAACAUGUUCUUGAUACAACUUCUUGUUGUACCUACCAAAAAAACAUGUUCUUUACACAGAGCCGGCCUUUGGGCCAAGCCAAUGAAUCCCAUGCUUCCGGCCACAAAAUUUAAUCAAGUAUUUUCGGCCACCAAAUUCAUAAAAACUUCUUUAGUCUAGUGGUAUAGCAUACAAAUAAUAGACUUCUUUGCGGCGUCCUGGGUUCGAAUCUGCUUCCACAUUUUUUUUUUUGGCUUCCAGCCUUAUAAAACCUAGGACCGGCUCUGCAAAGGUGGUGAUAGCCACAAACAUAAACCCUAAGUUAGUUGGAGGUAUAAAGUUAACACUAUGCUAAUAUCCUUCAUUCUUGACAUUUUAGCUGACAUUCACACUGUAUUAACUUGCUGAUACUUCAUAUUAGGUAUAUGGAUUAGCAAACUUGCUCAGUAAUCAGUAAUGACAAAGUUGUAGGGUCUGCUUUUUUCCACGUCGGCUGUUCCUAAAGAAGGUCUCUUCGCGUGAAAAGCAUUGACAGGAACGAAAGAGGAUGCACUGGUGAUGCAUUGUUGAGGAUCAGACAGCAGCAACAUAUAUCCCAAAUCAGACAACUCUAGCUGAUAGAGACACUGGUGAGGAUGAUUUAGCUGAGGCGUAAGAGCGUUCCGCGCAAGAAGAUGCGUAACGAGUAACGACCUACAGAUCGUGAGAAAGUGUUAGACGACAUCCUCAUAACUAUGUUGCACUCCAGGCUUUUAAAAAAAAAAACAAAUUUAAAGGACUACGACUACUACUAUAUUUAAACUAUGUUUAUGAGUUUUAUUCUUUUUGGUUAGUUAUUUCGACCAACCUCUUCCUUUUUAUAUUGAAUAAAUUAUGAUCAGCUGCGUCCUCAGUACUCUCGGUUUAUAUGCGCCAAACCCCCACACAUGAAGAUUGAUUUUAAACAAGGCUUCAAGUGGUUUUAAGCAGGUGGUUAAAAAAUCUAUGUAAUCAAAGCUCAAAAAAAAUGGAGGAUAAAAGCAGAAUUGCCAAAAAAUCGAAUACGAAUUCAUGUUCGAGUACCCUAAUAAUGACAGACAGAAACACAGUUUCAUACUGAUUGUUUGUAAACUUACUGAAGUUGGAUUAAAUAAUAUUAUAUAUAUACAACUAAUUUAUUUUAAAUACAAUUACAAUGUAAUAUAAUUUAAUAAUAAUAAUAUUCAAUAAUAGGAUAUAAUAAAUUAUUAAAAUAUUAUAUGUAACAAAUUCAAUGUACAAAACAUAUUUUGAAAAUUCAUAAUAUAAUUUCUAUUAAAAAUCUUGAUUAGUUAUUCGUACAACACCCCCAGAACAUCACCCUCUCAACACACACCCUUUCCACUACAACAUUUACGCUACAAAAUAAAAUUUCAACAAAAAAAUGCAAACAAAAAGAAACAAAACAUGUGCCACCACUUAGGUUUCAACUAGGUCCGAGCAUAUAAACAGAGUAUCAAAACCGAAUCUGAACCAAAGCGACUGUAUCUUAAACUUAAUCAAAGUUCACAGAUAAUCGAGCGGUUCCUAUAUUUUUGGAACCAAAAAACCGAAACCGAACCGAACUGAGAACCAAAUUCCGAAUAUCUAAAAUACAGUUCACAAACCAAAAAUAUUAACUAUGUUAAAUUUUAAAAUUACCAAAAUAUAAAAUACUACUUAUAAACCAAAUACCAAAAUAUCCAAAACAUCUGAAUAUUUUUUUACAAUUUUUUAAAAUUAUUCGAAUUACCUAAAAGAACCGAAUUACCCAAAUAGCUUUUAUUCUGAAUAUUAAAAUUUAUCAUAAUUACUCGAUAUGUAAUUUGAAAAACUAAAAGUAUGUUAACCGAACCAAACUCAAACUGAACCAAAUUUUAUAAAUAACCGAACAAUUCAGUUAUCUCAGGAACCAAAAGACAAAAAAUUAACAUAAUUAAACCAGAACCGAAUCGAAAACCAAACGUCUGUACAUGAUUUCAACUGUUUGGAGAACAAUUAAACACAUAUCUAAAAGGCAACAAAUAUAAUCAAUAACAAUUACACCGUAGAUGUUUCAAAAAAAUACAUUAAAUUUAUGAAAUAGGUAAUAGAACACAUAGAGAAACUAUGUUCUACUAGUUAUAUCAGAUCCCGCUCGAAGCGCGAUAAAACCACAAGUAAAUGAUAAAAUCAAGAAGUUUACUUGUUUGGUUAGAAUUAAUGUCUAGUUGUACCAUCUAAACAGUUUUAUAAAUGCCGACAAGAGAAACUGUUUUAUAAAUAUCUAUGUCUAACUAAAGGUAUAACUUGCAUUUUGUUAAAGAUUUGAUAUUUUUUUUCACUGUAUAUUUUUUUAAUAAAUCUGUCUCUCCAAAACUCGAAAAUUGGAUCUUAUAGUUUUUUUUUUGGAAAAAAAACUGGAUCUUAUAAAAAAAUAAUUAAUCUCUGUUAAAUGAGAUGAAGGGUUCGACGUUUGAACUUUUAUGUAAAUGUUGAUGUAAAAAUACACCAAAGAGAAUGUGACACGUCAGUAAAUUAGUUAAAAAAAUCUCGAUUUUUGUUAAUUCUAAUCUUUUUCUCCCAUCGAUACGAGCAACUCCGAAGGGGACUCUGCUCUUUUUUAAAAAAAAAAAAAAAAAUUGGGGAAACGAAUUUGAUCCGCGGCUUUCAAACUCGCGUGAGUUGCAAUUUUCUCGUACUAUCGAUCGUCUUUAUUGGGUCGGCGAUUUAGGGUUUUGAUGCGUUGAAUUGCGUAGAUUGUUUCCCUCCUCUCUGUGAGACAUUCUGGGUUCCGAAAGAUUUGAUUUUGAUAUUAAAAAGUUAAAAAAAAAAUUUGAUUUUGAUUAUAACCCCCAGUCUAAUUCGUGUCUUGUUUACUCAUAAUGCAGGUUGUUCAAAAAGAUUUGAUUUUUGAUUAUAACCCAGUCUUGUUUUCUUCUUUUUUUUUUUUUGUUCUUGUUGUUUCCUGAAUCAGUUCUCACCACUGCCAUUGGAUCAGUGUUUGGUAUCUAUAGAGAGCUAUGGAACACUUGUUUUGGUGAAAGUGCCUUCCUCUUGCUUGAUGUGGAGAUAUUGAACUUUUUUGCUUUCACUGUUUUCAAAAUGGAGUGGAGAGGAAUCAUCUGCACUCUCUUCUUUAUUCUUUCCAUUGGAGAGUCCUCAAGCAGAUUCCAGAUGAUUUGGCUUCCUAACCUCGGUGCUGGUGUUGACGUUGCUGGAACAUACUUCACUUGGCCAAUCUUAAGUGCCAGCGUUUUCGUUACUGUGGCCAUCCUCAUCUCCAUGUAUCUCAUCUUUGAGCACCUAGCUUCUUAUAAUCAGCCUGAGGUUGGUUUGUUCAUCUGUAUAACUUUUUUCACUGAUUAAAGCUGGAACAUUGCUAAUUGAUCAUAACUUUUGUUACAGGAACAGAAGUUUCUUAUUGGACUUAUUCUCAUGGUCCCUGUCUAUGCCCUGGAAUCGGUAUAUGAUUGAUAAGCUUACUACUAUAUAUGUUACAUCCCAUAUUUGUAGCUCAGUUUCCACAUUUAGAAUAGUUUCCUGAUUCUUUGAUCUAUAUGAUUCUCUUCCUGCAGUUUCUGUCUUUGGUGAACUCAGAAGCAGCUUUUAACUGCGAGGUGAUUCGCGAUUGUUAUGAAGCCUUUGCACUCUACUGUUUUGAGAGAUACAUGAUAGCUUGUCUAGGUAAAUGAUGCUUCACAUUUUCUUGAUUCACUUGAAGAUAUCUUUGGGAUUCUUGUUUUCAUCUCUGUAUCCUCCACAGAUGGAGAAGAACGUACGAUUGAAUUCAUGGAGCAACAGACAGUGAUCACCCAGACCACUCCUCUUCUCGAAGGCACAUGUUCUUAUAAAGUUGUGGAGCAUCCUUUCCCAAUGAACUGUUUCCUUAAAGACUGGAACCUUGGUCCUCAGUUUUAUCACGCUGUUAAAAUUGGCAUCGUUCAAUAUGUAUGUCACUACUGUCAUGAAAACAAUCUUGUGGACUAUUAUGCUCUAUGAUCUUCUAUUCAAACUGACUUUAAAAAAUUUCUGCUUCUUCAGAUGAUACUGAAGAUGAUCUGUGCUCUAUUAGCAAUGCUCCUUGAAGCCUUUGGAGUUUAUGGAGAAGGCAAGUUCCAAUGGAACUACGGGUAAUCUUCUUUCUUUUCAUCAUCCAUUCUCGUCGGGAUCCGGGUACAACCUAAUGAAACAUUCAAAUUAAGAAAAAAAAAUAAUUACUACUCCUUCCAUUUCAGAAAGUAGGAUUUUCUAAAUUUAUUUUUUUUUGUUUUAAAAUGAUAGAUUUUCUAGAAUCUUAAAGUGCUUUUAGUAGUUAAUGUUGAUAAGUUAUAUAUUUUUAAGAAACAUUAAUUGAAAAUAUUUAGUUAUUGGAAAAUGUAUAAUAAAGUAAACAAUAAAUUUAAUUGUAAAUAUUUAUUAUAUUUUUAAUAUUCGUGAAUACUCUAGAAAAUCUAACGAGUACUAAAAGUUCUUAGGAAGUGUUUAUAGUCUCCAAAAUCUCAGAUCCGGCCCCUGUAUGUGUUCGUCCUUGUCUUGAUUCUAACUUGGUAUGAUUAUUGUAUGUUGUCUCAUUUGCAGGUAUCCAUAUCUGGCUGUAGUCCUGAACUUCAGCCAAACAUGGGCGUUGUACUGCCUUGUACAGUUCUACAACGUCAUCAAAGACAAGCUAGCACCCAUCAAACCAUUAGCCAAGUUUCUAACCUUCAAGUCUAUUGUAUUCCUCACCUGGUGGCAAGGCAUCAUCGUCGCGUUCCUCUUCUCCAUGGGACUCUUCAAAGGGUCUUUAGCUAAGGAGCUCAAAACGAGGAUACAAGACUACAUCAUCUGCAUAGAGAUGGGUGUUGCCGCCGUGGUUCAUCUCUACGUCUUCCCAGCGGCUCCCUACAAGCGCGGGGAGAGAUGCGUCCGCAACGUGGCGGUGAUGUCGGAUUACGCGUCUAUAGACACGCCUCCUGACCCGGAAGAGGUUAAGGACAGCGAGAGAACGACUAGGGUGAGGUACGGGAGGCAUGAUGAUGAGUGGGAGAAGCGGUUGAACUUCCCGCAGAGCGUGCGGGAUGUGGUGGUGGGGAGCGGGGAGAUCAUUGCUGAUGACAUGAGGUUCACGGUUUCUCACGUGGUGGAGCCGGUGGAGAGAGGGAUAGCGAAGAUUAACAGGACGUUUCAUCAGAUAUCUGAAAACGUGAAGAGGUUUGAGCAGAAGAAGAGGAGGACUAAAGAUGAUUCGUAUGUGAUUCCGCUGAAUCCGUGGACGAAAGAGUUCUCUGAGGUUCAUGAGGAUCUCCAUGAAGGAGGGAGUGUGAGUGAUAGCGGUUUGGGGAGUACGAAGCGGCGUCAACAGUCUAGAGUCUCGGGACUGUGGAGUAGAAUGCGAAGGUGAGGACGAAAGAGUUCUCGUCUUCUUGACCAUUUUGACAAAAGAAGCUGUAGAUGUUUAUGAGAUGAUGAUGCUAAUGUGAUGGGUUACUUACACAGAGGUAACAAACAGAUUGCUACUAACUAGAUUUCUCUGCUCUUGAUACAACUUUAUGGAGAAGUUAGAAUCUGUAUUUCGCUUAUGACAGAUGUUUACACUAAAAAAGAUUUUAAAAUAAAAUUGUUGUGGUUAAAGAAUCUUAUCCUAGAAUUUGUUGUGAACCAAACUUCCACAUGUUGUGUUGGUUCUCAUUUCUCGAAUCUACCAUUCAAGAUGGAUAACGUUAUAACCAAAUGUUGAAGAAAUCGUUAAUCAGUAGUAAGGUAUUCUCUAUGGGAAUUUAAAGUUUAAACGGGAAUUAGGAGUUAAUAAAUUAAUGGGUAAUUGCACUAGAUAGCCAUAGAAAUAAAAUAUAUUAACUUAGUGGAGAGGGUACUGUUAACAUUUCUAAUUCACGGUAAUAACCCUCCUAGCUAGAGUGUAUGUCAUCUAGUUGUUAUAUACAUCAGAUCUCGCUGUCCCAGUGUUUCUCCCUCUCUAUCUUUCUCUCUAUCUCUUUCUACAUCCUGAUUUUUUUUCUUUAAUUCACUUUCAUUUUUAUCAGAUUCUAAAUACUAUUAAUAAAAACUUUGAAAACUUUUGACUUCUUAGUAUGAAAAUGUAUGAACAUGUCCAUUCACUAUUAAAACAAUAAUUAAUAAAGAUUUGUCAAGUAUAUUCCAUUUAUGAAAAAUUAAUAAAAAUUAAUAUUAAUUGUCAAAAAAAUAUUAACAUUGUUAACACCGUUAGCUAAACCGUAAACCUUAAACCCUAGGGUUCACCCUUUAAAGUAGGAUUUAGGGUUCACUCUCUAGGGUUUAGGGUUUGCAACUUAGGGUUUAGGAUUUUGCUAACAAUUGUUGACUGAAUUAACAAUUUCAAUGUUUUUUUCUUUUUUUCGGCAAUUAACUUUAUGAUUAAUUUUUAUUUUUUUAUAAACAAAAUGACUUGAUAAAUUUCUAUUGACUAUUAUUUUAGUGAUGUAUGCACUCGUUUAUCUUGGGGUGAACAUGUGCGUUCAUUAUUAAAAUAAUAAUCAAUAAAAAAUUCUUUAGUAGACAUUUCAUAAUUUUACAAAUGUGUACUAUGAUAUUUAUUUUGUUUGAUUCUAUUUGGAUUUAUGAUUUAUAUUUGGAUUUAAGGUUUAGUGAUUAUGAUUUAUGGUUUGAUAUUUAGAAGGUAGAAGUGAAAUUAUGGUCAACAUUAAAUUUUGAUAUUUGAGUUUAAGAUUUAUUUUUGAGUUUAGGGUUUAAUUUUUAGCUUAAGGUUUAGUGAUUAUAGUUUAUGGUUUAGUAUUUAGAGAGUGAGAGUAAAGUUAGGGUCAGUUUAGAUUUUAGGGUUUAUCAUUUAAUUUUUGGUUUAGGAUUUAGUGAUUAGAGUUUAUUGAUUAAUAUCAAGAGAGUGAAAGUGAAAUUAGAGUCAGCUUUAAAUUUUAAUAUUGAACCGUUACAUACAACACACUCUCAUGUUAAUGUUUGAUAUUUAGUAAAAAUUAUUUUUUCCGACACUCUUCUGACACAUAACUACUUCCCUAUAAUAAUACCUUUCUAAUUCUACGAUUGGGAUGCCUACCUAUAAGAAACAAUGGAUUUGGACAAUAAGGUAACUUCACUUUGCUUCAGUUAUCCGGUUACCUAAAAACUAUUUUAUUUGCAUGGAUUCCUAAUUAUCUUUGUAUUUGUGGUUUUCCAGCCAAUUUGGCCUAAAUUAAUUAUAUAUUUAUAUUGAAUAAUUUAUUUUAGGUUUGAUUAUAAAAUUAUUUCGAUGAAUUAUAAAAAGUAGAUAUACAAAAAGAUUUAGUUCAAAAAAAAAUAUACAAAAAAACAAAAUUUUGAACUUACACUUAUUACUAAAUUUAGGAUCCAAAUGGUAACCAUUAAAAUAGGAAUAUGAAUCAGUAGGAAAUGAAUGAAUAGAAACAAAAAAAAAGAAUAAAAAUAAAUAUUUGUUUCUUUUGUUCCGUAUCAAUUUUGAUAUGGAAUGUUUGUGAAUGUUUGUCUUCUAUAGUUCCUUAAAAUUCAAAGAAUCAAACGCAUCAAAAAUUUCCCAUAAAUGGUGUAAUUUUUAAAGAAUGAGUAGGAAUUGACUAUUCUCAUUAAUUCCUUAUGUCACCAUUUGGACCCUUAACCGAUUUAUACUAAUAUAGAUCAAACUAGACAGUUUAAAUCGAUUUUUAACCACUUAAUUUAGGCGGACAUCUUACACUAUUUUAAGAAUUUUGGUUAUAACCAUUCCAAAGAGGUAAAAGCUGCAAAAUAACUAGUAAAGAAGAGAAGAACAUCUUCAGACAUAGGGACAAGAAAACAGAGUUAAACUAAUGAACCAGAGACUUGCUACUUUAGGUAUAGAGUAGAACUUAGUAGCAUACAAUGUAAUAAUAAAAACAAAUCAAAGAUUGUUCUUCAUCAAGGCAUAGACUUAGCCAUUUGUCUGAGAAGAAACUUCUGAAUCUUUCCAGUUGAAGUCUUAGGAAGCUCCUCCUGAAAAACCACAUUCCUCGGAACCAUAUACUUUGGCAGCUUCGUCUUGCAAAACUCUCUUAUCUCUCUCUCAGACACAGACCCAUCAAGACACUUCAAGCUCACAAACGCACACGGUGUCUCUCCCCACAUCUUGUCUGGCUUAGCCACCACAGCCGCCUCCUUAACCACAGGGUUCGUGUACAGAACCGUCUCAACUUCCUUACUGCUAAUGUUCUCUCCUCCGCAUAUGAUCACAUCCUUUGACCUAUCCUUGACCUCCAAGUAACCGUCCGGGUGCAUCACACCCAUGUCUCCAGUGUAGAACCACCCGUCUUCUCUCAUACUCGCCGCGGUGCCUUCCGGGUCUUUGUAGUAACCCAGCAUAACCGAACCGCCUCUAAAAACAAUCUCUCCCACGGUUACUCCAUCGUGCUUAACGCUUUUACCAGUUAGCGUGUCCCUCACGUCAACUUCUGCAAACACAGCCGUUCUAAUCCCUUGCCUUGAUUUCAGUUUUGCUCUCUCACUUUCUCCAAGACCAUCCCAUUCCGGCUUCCACGCGCAUGAGACAUUCAGACAACCAGUUUCCGUCAGCCCGUAACCGUGUCCCACAUCAAAACCUAGACUCUCAGCGCUGGAGAUAACCGUCUCCGGUGGAGGAGCUCCAGCUGUCAUAACCCGAACCGGUUGUUUAAGCUGUCUUCGAGAUGGAGAGUUUGUCAACAUGUUGAGAACCAUCGGCGCAGCGCACAUGUGUGUCACGUGAUGCUUGUCUAUCGAAUCGUAGAUAGUCUUCGCGUCAACUCUUCUAAGGCAUAUGUUUGUAGCCCCAACAGCGGCUGUGGCCCAUGUGUAGCUCCAACCGUUAGCGUGAAACAUCGGUAAGGUCCAUAAGUAAACCGGCCGGUUAGGCAUGGACCAGUCGAGCAAAGAGUUAAUAGUACUCAUGAAAACGGCACGGUGGCUAAGUACUACACCUUUGGGAGACGACGUCGUUCCGGAGGUGUAGUUAAGCACCAUUGGGUUCCACUCGCUGCUAGGACGCACCCACUUGAACGUCUCGUCUCCUCUCUCCAUAACACCUUCGUACGUGUCUAGAAACUCCACGUUAGAAGAUAACGACAUGUUGACGUCAUCUUGGAGGAGGACGAGACGUGGCUUCUCGUUCUUGGGCAAGAACGAGACAGCUUCAAGAACUAAAGAACUCGAGUGGUGGUCGACGAAAACGAGCUUGGUUUCGCUGUGACGCAGGAGGACUGAGAGUGCGUUAGCGUCUAAGCGAGGGUUGAUGUUGUUGAGGAUGGCCCCGGACAUAGGAACCGCGAACUGAAGCUCGUAGACGGAAGGGACGUUGGGACCAAUAACGGAUACGACUUGGCCACGGUUGAUUCCGAGGGAAGGGGAAGAUAGAGUCGAAGCUAUGCGGAGACAUCGGGAAUGAGUUUCGGACCAAGUACGGACGGUGGUUGUGUGGAGGAGGGAAGGUGAGUCGCCGUAGACAGAGGCGGCUCGGUCUAAGUAGCCGAGAACUGUGAGAGGUGAUGAGUUUG